GGCCGCAGUAUAUUGACUGUGCAAAGGUAGCAUAAUCAUUAGUUUUUUAAUUGAAAGCUUGUAUGAAAGGUUGGACGAGGUAAAUUCUGUCUCUAUCUAAAUUAGUUUAGAAUUUAAUUUUUAAGUUAAAAAGCUUAAAUGUUAAUAAAAGACGAGAAGACCCUAUAGAGCUUUAUAAUUUGUUAAAUAGAAUUAAUUUAGUAAUAUUGAUUUUUUAUUUUUUAGAUUAUUUUAUUGGGGUAAUAGAAAGAUUAAAUUAAUUCUUUUUUUUUAUGGACAUAAAUAUAUGGUUUUAAUGAUCCAAUUUUAUUGAUUAUAAGAUUAAGUUACCUUAGGGAUAACAGCGUAAUUUUUUUAGAGAGUUCAUAUCGAUAAAAAAGUUUGCGACCUCGAUGUUGGAUUAAAGAUUAUUUUAGGUGUAGGAGCUUAAUAAUUUUGGUCUGUUCGACCAUUAAAUCUUUACAUGAUCUGAGUUCAGACCGGUGUAAGCCAGGUCGGUUUCUAUCUUUAUAAAAUUAUGAUAUUUUAGUACGAAAGGACCAAAUAUUGGGUAUAGUGAUAUUUUAUGAUUGUGAAUAUUAUUAAGAUAUUGCUUUGGCAGAUUAGUGCAAUGAAUUUAGAAUUCAUUUAUGUAAGGAAUUUUACAGGUAAUACUUGUUUUAUAUAGAUGUAAUAUUUUCAUUAAUUUGUAUAAUUUUAUUAGUUAUUUGUGUUCUUGUGGGGGUUGCAUUUUUGACUUUAUUGGAACGUAGGG
This 754-nucleotide ribosomal RNA is filed under the name Maoripamborus fairburni. RNAcentral's name for it is "partial 16S ribosomal RNA". The stretch from base 1 to 532 matches the Rfam family "Bacterial large subunit ribosomal RNA", at positions 1929 to 2925 of the family's 2925-position model. Lineage: Eukaryota; Metazoa; Arthropoda; Insecta; Coleoptera; Carabidae. The record is from RNAcentral.